RNAcentral lists this unclassified non-coding RNA (382 nucleotides) under Hevea brasiliensis (rubber tree). The record is from RNAcentral. Lineage: Eukaryota; Viridiplantae; Streptophyta; Magnoliopsida; Malpighiales; Euphorbiaceae.
AAUUUCUUCGCAUCGGUAACGCGCGCCGUCGGCCCUUGGCUGCCCGAACACAAGAUUGGCCGAGCCAAUCUGACCGCGGCCUUCCCGGAAAAAUCUCCCCCCGAAAUCGAUACGAUCUUGAUGGGUGUGUGGGAAAAUCUGGGCCGCGUUGGCGCGGAGUUCGCGCAUAUCGACCACCUCUGGGAUCUCGAUCCCGAAAGUUGGGAGAGCGGGCGCAUCGAACCCGCUCCCGGCAGCAUCGAGAAAUUUCUCGCGCUGCGCGACGACGGCAAGGGUGCGUUGAUAUUCGCCAGUCAUCUCGCAAAUUGGGAAUUGCCUGCACUCGCGGCUCCUGCCUAUGGCCUCGAGUCAGCGGUGCUGUUUCGCCGGCCCAAUAUCGCGG